This 1018-nucleotide ribosomal RNA is filed under the name uncultured Penicillium. Its description in RNAcentral is "SSU rRNA". It matches the Rfam family "Eukaryotic small subunit ribosomal RNA", at positions 25 to 1055 of the family's 1831-position model. Lineage: Eukaryota; Fungi; Ascomycota; Eurotiomycetes; Eurotiales; Aspergillaceae. The record is from RNAcentral.
CAUAUGCUGUCUCAAAGAUAAGCCAUGCAUGUCUAGUAUAAGCACUGUACUGUGAAACUGCGAUGGCUCAAUAAAUCAGUUAUCGUUUAUUUGAUAGUACCUUACUACAUGGAUACCUGUGGUAAUUCUAGAGCUAAUACAUGCUAAAAACCCCGACUUCAGGAAGGGGUGUAUUUUAUUAGAUAAAAAACCAACGCCCUUUCGGGGCUCCUUGGUGAAUCAUAAUAACUUAACGAAUCGCAUGGCCUUGCGCCGGCGAUGGUUCAUUCAAAUUUCUGCCCUAUCAACUUUCGAUGGUAGGAUAGUGGCCUACCAUGGUGGCAACGGGUAACGGGGAAUUAGGGUUCGAUUCCGGAGAGGGAGCCUGAGAAACGGCUACCACAUCCAAGGAAGGCAGCAGGCGCGCAAAUUACCCAAUCCCGAUACGGGGAGGUAGUGACAAUAAAUACUGAUACGGGGCUCUUUUGGGUCUCGUAAUUGGAAUGAGAACAAUUUAAAUCCCUUAACGAGGAACAAUUGGAGGGCAAGUCUGGUGCCAGCAGCCGCGGUAAUUCCAGCUCCAAUAGCGUAUAUUAAAGUUGUUGCAGUUAAAAAGCUCGUAGUUGAACCUUGGGCCUGGCUGGCCGGUCCGCCUCACCGCGAGUACUGGUCCGGCUGGGCCUUUCCUUCUGGGGAACCUCAUGGCCUUCACUGGCUGUGGGGGGAACCAGGACUUUUACUGUGAAAAAAUUAGAGUGUUCAAAGCAGGCCUUUGCUCGAAUACAUUAGCAUGGAAUAAUAGAAUAGGACGUGUGGUUCUAUUUUGUUGGUUUCUAGGACCGCCGUAAUGAUUAAUAGGGAUAGUCGGGGGCGUCAGUAUUCAGCUGUCAGAGGUGAAAUUCUUGGAUUUGCUGAAGACUAACUACUGCGAAAGCAUUCGCCAAGGAUGUUUUCAUUAAUCCGGGAACGAAAGUUAGGGGAUCGAAGACGAUCAGAUACCGUCGUAGUCUUAACCAUAAACUAUGCCGACUAGGGAUCA